GGGGUGGGAGGGAUCAGUGCCCCCACAAACAAACAAAUAAACAAACCAAGAGUUACCUCCCCAGACAGCCUGGGGCCAGACAGGCUGAGGAUGGACUGAAAACAGGGCCCUGCAGGGGUCAGGCCAACGCCAGCACCAACUGCUGGACAAGUACGUGGGCCGGGGGGAGGGCCCCGGGGACGGAGAAAGGGCUGCACUGGGACAGGCGGGGUCCUGACCGUGCAGGGCAGCACUCUGAAGCAACUGGGAAAGAGCAGGGUUUUGCCCUAUGGUGUGGGGAGGUGCUAGGGGGUUCAUUUUCAACCUGCCUUCUUCCACAAGUUGAGGACAAAGGAAGGUGACUCUUCUCUGUGCUGUGGUGACCAGGGUCCCAGGGGAGCCAGGGCUGAGGGCGCCAGCCUUGGGACAAGUGGCCUCAGCGGCCCUGGAUGGAAGGGGAGAGAGGGGAGAGCGGAGCUGGCGCCCUCUGGUGGGCGACGCUGGAAGCGCGGGUGGCCGCACCGCCGCCGGAGACGUCCCAGGAGCCGUCGCCUUGCGCCGUGUCGGGGCCUCGGAGCCGUGCGCUCCGCGCGAGGGUGCACCUGGGGCGAAUUUCAGACGCAAAGCGAGGGAAUAAAGUUGCUGGGCUUGCACGCAUGCCUUCAUUCGAAGGGCUCGUGUUGGAACCUUCCUAUCCGAAGCCCUAGACACGUGCUUGGCUGGAGGUGCGCGAGCCCCGAUGAGCACUGCGCCGAGUCAUCUGUUCUGGGAAGCCGCGCGGGCGCGGCGGGGCCCACCCCAGUGUAUACCCCCCCACCGCGCGCGCGCCGCGGCGCUCGCAGCGCGCUCCUGCCCGCAGUGGGAGCCCAAUCCACAUCGGUCCCUCUGUCCCAGGGUCUCCCGGCCCGACGGGGCGCCCCACGGGCACAGCAGGGGGUUGCUUUUCCUCCCGCCCUGCCUCCGCUGGCCCCCGAGUCCCCUUCUCUGCCCUCUCAGCGCACAGUAGGAGCGCCGGGGGUGAAGACGGACUCGGAGUUUGCAGACCCUGGGAGGAGGGACAGGCCAGAGUUCUGGGGGC
This 1057-nucleotide long non-coding RNA is filed under the name Oryctolagus cuniculus (rabbit). Its description in RNAcentral is "lncRNA (ENSOCUG00000035383.1)". The record is from RNAcentral. Lineage: Eukaryota; Metazoa; Chordata; Mammalia; Lagomorpha; Leporidae.